RNAcentral lists this ribosomal RNA (458 nucleotides) under uncultured Rhodoferax sp. RNAcentral's name for it is "bacterial SSU rRNA". It matches the Rfam family "Bacterial small subunit ribosomal RNA", at positions 923 to 1382 of the family's 1533-position model. Lineage: Bacteria; Pseudomonadati; Pseudomonadota; Betaproteobacteria; Burkholderiales; Comamonadaceae. The record is from RNAcentral.
GCACAAGCGGUGGAUGAUGUGGUUUAAUUCGAUGCAACGCGAAAACCUUACCCACCUUUGACAUGUACGGAACCCUUUAGAGAUAGAGGGGUGCUCGAAAGAGAGCCGUAACACAGGUGCUGCAUGGCUGUCGUCAGCUCGCGUCGUGAGAUGUUGGGUUAAGUCCCGCAACGAGCGCAACCCUUGUCAUUAGUUGCUACAUUCAGUUGGGCACUCUAAUGAGACUGCCGGUGACAAGCCGGAGGAAGGUGGGGAUGACGUCAAGUCCUCAUGGCCCUUAUAGGUGGGGCUACACACGUCAUACAAUGGCUGGUACAAAGGGUUGCCAACCCGCGAGGGGGAGCCAAUCCCAUAAAGCCGAUCGUAGUCCGGAUCGUAGUCUGCAACUCGACUACGUGAAGUCGGAAUCGCUAGUAAUCGCAGAUCAGCAUGCUGCGGUGAAUACGUUCCCGGGUCUU